CCUACGGGAGGCAGCAGUGGGGAAUAUUGGGCAAUGGGCGCAAGCCUGACCCAGCAACGCCGCGUGAAGGAAGAAGUCUUUCGGGUUGUAAAGUUCUUUUGACAGGGAAGAGUGGAAGACGGUACCUGUCGUAUAAGCUACGGCUAGCUACGUUCCAGCAGACGAGGUACGACGUAGGUGGGAGGGGUUGUCCGGAUUUGAUGGGUGUAAAGGGCGUGUAGACGGGUUGACAAGUCAUAUGUGAAAUACUGCGGCUUAACCGCAGAAAGGCAUGUGAAACUGUUGAUCUUGAGGACUGGAGAGGCAGACGGAAGUCCGAGUGGAGCGGUGAAAUGCGUAGAUAUGAGGAGGAACACCAGUGGCGAAGGCGGCCUGCUGGACAGAAACUGACGGUGAGGCGCGAAAGCGUGGGGAGCAAACAGGAUUAGAUACCCGGGUAGUC
This 442-nucleotide ribosomal RNA is filed under the name uncultured bacterium. RNAcentral's name for it is "partial 16S ribosomal RNA". It matches the Rfam family "Bacterial small subunit ribosomal RNA", at positions 338 to 795 of the family's 1533-position model. The record is from RNAcentral.